Molecule: ribosomal RNA, 253 nt
Filed under: uncultured bacterium
Lineage: Bacteria
Description: partial 16S ribosomal RNA
Rfam family: Bacterial small subunit ribosomal RNA
Source: RNAcentral
UACGUAGGGGGCAAGCGUUGUCCGGAUUUAUUGGGCGUAAAGAGCGUGUAGGCGGCCAUUCAGGUCAGCUGUGAAAACUCGAGGUUCAACCUCGAGACGUCGGUUGAAACCGUUUGGCUAGAGUCCGGAAGAGGAGAGUGGAAUUCCCGGUGUAGCGGUGAAAUGCGCAGAUAUCGGGAAGAACACCCGUGGCGAAGGCGGCUCUCUGGGACGGUACUGACGCUGAGACGCGAAAGCGUGGGGAGCGAACAGG